UCGAGGUCGGCCGGCACAUCAGCUCGGUAGUCGGUUUUCGUGGUUUAAUAUUUUAUAAUAAAAUUAUAAUCGUAGUCUUCGAAGAUGUGCGCAACGCAAAAUAACUCAACACUGCGAGUGGCUCGUGACACGGUGGCCAAUAGAUUCCGGGUGGCUACGAGAUGCUGGUGUGACAUUCCAGUCCACCGAAUAAUCAUCGUGUGGUUAAGUGUGUAACUAAAAUGUUGAGAUUUAUAAAUAAAUGACAUAAAUAAAUA
Uranotaenia lowii is the source of this 257-nucleotide long non-coding RNA. RefSeq lists it as uncharacterized. Lineage: Eukaryota; Metazoa; Arthropoda; Insecta; Diptera; Culicidae. The transcript is spliced from 2 exons. The record is from RefSeq and is a predicted model, not a curated record.